GGGCAAUAAAAAUGGACACACAGCAGAAACAACAUGGCGCUGGCAGAAGGCAACGGUCCGGGACACCGGCACAGAAGCACUCGCCAAUGUACGGGCAACCUGAUGCCGGCGCCUUCCCCCCUCCCACGCCUCAGGCCUCACCGGACACUGGACUAGGAAUAACAGCAUUUAUUCUUCCUUCUGGUUGUACUCUUUGUGUCUUAACUAUUUAUGAGGUCGAGUUGUUUGUGCAGUUUGAUUAUUUUGCUGGCAGGGCGGUAGGCGGAGCACCGGCGACCUGUGCCUCUUCAUAAUUCAACGGUCGGGCUGACAAUCCGGCCAGACGGAGUGCACACACAUUCAGAGGAACGCGCCGUUCAAGUGAGAUCGCAGUGAGCGCCCACGCAACGAGUUUUGUGCAGCGUGUAGGGGAUCACUCGAUGGGCUGUACACACGCAGUGAGUAGUGAAUAUUAAUGUACUAGCAGUGUAAAUAGAUAUGUAUACUCUUGAUUUGCAGCCACAGCUGAUUUGUUAUGGUUUUAAAAAGAACUUAAUGAAAAUCAAAGUAAAGGCCGAUCGGCCCUGUGCCCUGCGGGUCCUAUAUACCCUACAGACUCGCUACAGACUGUGCUUGGGAUCCGCUCGCUACUUUGGCCUAGAAUGGCUGGAGCAUUUCUUGUGGAUUCACAGUCAACGUUCAACGUACUGCAACAUGCAGCAGCCACCAUGAGUUGUAUUGCAUAGCUAAUCACAUCACUUACAGUUCCACACAUUAUAUUAGUGAAUGCUUUGUGUGAAUGUGUCUGACGUCUGCCUAAGUCUGAUGAACGUGAUUAUAUAGUGGAAAGAAUUAUUUGGCCCAGCCAUCUUAUGUGCAUAUUUACGUACACACUUAUAUAGGGAAUUCUUUACACUUUUGAAGGCUCUACGGAGAGAUGCAACUCAUAUACACACAUAUCUGCGACCUUUCCAGUCGCCUUCUCGUGCAGCUGCUAUCCACUACCUGCUCUGGGUAGGGGCCUUCCAAAGCUACAGGCAAACAAUUGCUGCAUUCCAGAAGUCACCGCUAAAACGCCGCAACGCUACAGGACCUGAGCGCUCCCAGUCGUUGCUUCGCUUCUACAAGCAGCACCAACGGCGACGCUACAUCUUGGAACACUUUCAGCGUUCCCUUCCAUUCGGUAUAGUACACUCCUUCACGUCUCUCAAUAUAUAUGGUAUGUUAUACUCGUGUCUUAAUGGAAAGGCGUACUUACAUAUUUGAUAGGUAUCAGUAUGUUUCUGAUGUGUACACUUUAUAACAACUCUCAUGUGUUCCAGGUUCCACGUGAAAAUCCCUACACAGUUUAAUCAGCUGCUAGGCACUGCAUAUUAAUAUUUAUGAGUAAUAUUGACGAAACAAUUCAGAAGUGACUGAUUUCUCAUCCGUGGGGCUGCCUUGACAGCGAUCUUAGUGAGAAUUGUUGACUUCUAGCGACUCAGCGACUUCUACUCUGAGCGCUUCUCGUCGGUGCGUUAAGCACCUGGUGGUCUCGCUACAUAUAUUGGUCUUCUCGACGGUCCAAUUAAAACACGGCAGGAGAACAACUACGAACUACGGUUGAACAUGGAAACGGCUAUUAGUUCGUUCAGCUUCGUAAGGGACUUCUCAGGGUUGCGCUCGCAAAUACAUUGGAACCAAACACGCUCAUCGUUUCACCAUCCAUAUUUAAAGCUCUACGGAUGGAACAACUCAGAGGGGAUAAAUCUCCACUGAAUACUGAUCAUCCUGUGCAGACGGACCUGGAAUUCGAGGGAACACUCUUAAAAGAAGAUCGAAACUCCUUCCUAAGUUGUGGCUUGGAAGGGACUGGAACAGGGUAUAAAUGACGUCAAAUGGAACAUUGUCAUUUGGUGCAUAGUGAGGACUUAAGUGCAAUUGCAGACACACACACAUCCGGAUGUAUCGAAGGAAUGGCAGUUCAUUGUGGCUGCUAGAAGAUGUUGGAUAUCAACGACGAAAGACAAGUAUCUAAGGGGUCAACGCGAGGAAGGGAAUACGCCUCAGGGCGGUUGAUGGGACUCUUACGGAACAUACUAUAUAACUCUUAAACGAAAAGCAGUCGUAAUUAAACUUAUACUUAAACGA
Molecule: small RNA, 2109 nt
Filed under: Drosophila pseudoobscura pseudoobscura
Lineage: Eukaryota; Metazoa; Arthropoda; Insecta; Diptera; Drosophilidae
Description: GA30710
Source: RNAcentral